UACGGAGGGUGCAAGCGUUAUCCGGAUUUAUUGGGUUUAAAGGGUCCGUAGGCGGACUCGUAAGUCAGUGGUGAAAUCUCAUAGCUCAACUAUGAAACUGCCAUUGAUACUGCGGGUCUUGAGUAAGGUAGAGGUAGCUGGAAUAAGUAGUGUAGCGGUGAAAUGCAUAGAUAUUACUUAGAACACCAAUUGCGAAGGCAGGUUACCAUGUCUUAACUGACGCUGAUGGACGAAAGCGUGGGGAGCGAACAGG
This 253-nucleotide ribosomal RNA is filed under the name uncultured bacterium. Its description in RNAcentral is "partial 16S ribosomal RNA". It matches the Rfam family "Bacterial small subunit ribosomal RNA", at positions 524 to 776 of the family's 1533-position model. The record is from RNAcentral.